Molecule: ribosomal RNA, 572 nt
Filed under: Fructobacillus tropaeoli
Lineage: Bacteria; Bacillati; Bacillota; Bacilli; Lactobacillales; Lactobacillaceae
Description: bacterial SSU rRNA
Rfam family: Bacterial small subunit ribosomal RNA
Source: RNAcentral
CACUUUUUGAUGGAUUCGCGGUGCAUUAGUUAGUUGGUGGGGUAAAGGCCCACCAAGACGAUGAUGCAUAGCCGAGUUGAGAGACUGACCGGCCACAUUGGGACUGAGACACGGCCCAAACUCCUACGGGAGGCUGCAGUAGGGAAUCUUCCACAAUGGGCGAAAGCCUGAUGGAGCAACGCCGCGUGUGUGAUGAAGGCUUUCGGGUCGUAAAGCACUGUUGUAUGGGAAGAACGGUAAGGGUAGGAAAUGACCUUUACAUGACGGUACCAUACCAGAAAGGGACGGCUAAAUACGUGCCAGCAGCCGCGGUAAUACGUAUGUCCCGAGCGUUAUCCGGAUUUAUUGGGCGUAAAGCGAGCGCAGACGGUUCGAUAAGUCUGAAGUGAAAGCCCACAGCUCAACUGUGGAAGUGCUUUGGAAACUGUCGAACUUGAGUGCAGUAGAGGUAAGUGGAACUCCAUGUGUAGCGGUGGAAUGCGUAGAUAUAUGGAAGAACACCAGUGGCGAAGGCGGCUUACUGGACUGCAACUGACGUUGAGGCUCGAAAGUGUGGGUAGCAAACAGGAUUA